GAAAGAGAGUUAAAAGUGCUUGAAAUCGCUGAAAGGGAAGCGAAUGGAACCACAUGCUUGCUGAGAUUGCUGCCAAUGCUUGUGAGCCCUGGUCAUUAAAGCGCAAGCUUCUUGUCUAGGAGUGAGCU
This 128-nucleotide ribosomal RNA is filed under the name Symbiodinium sp. ex Pteraeolidia ianthina. RNAcentral's name for it is "partial large subunit ribosomal RNA". Lineage: Eukaryota; Dinophyceae; Suessiales; Symbiodiniaceae. The record is from RNAcentral.